UUAACUCAAAUUUGUAUGGAGUUGAAACGUUUGCUUACGUUUGCCGCAAGGGCGCUGUUCCAAUUGCUUACAAAUUAGGGUUG
Non-coding RNA from Bombyx mori (domestic silkworm), 83 nucleotides. NCBI's taxonomy places the organism in Eukaryota, Metazoa, Arthropoda, Insecta, Lepidoptera, Bombycidae. The record is from Rfam.